AACGCUGGCGGCGUGCCUAACACAUGCAAGUCCGAGCGGAGUCGAUCGACGGAAGCCUUCGGGCGGAAGAUAGGUUGACUUAGCGGCGGAUGGGUGAGUAACGCGUGGGCAACCUGCCUCGAAGACCGGGAUAACAGCCCGAAAGGGCUGCUAAUACCGGAUGUGGUCAAGGAUUCGCAUGGAUUUUUGAUUAAAGGGGAAACCCGUUUCGAGAUGGGCCCCGCGUCCUAUCAGCUAGUUGGUGAGGUAAAAGCUCACCAAGGCGACGACGGGUAGCCGGCCCGAGAGGGUGACCGGCCACACUGGAACUGAGACACGGUCCAGACUCCUACGGGGGGCAGCAGUGGGGAAUCUUCCACAAUGGGCGAAAGCCUGAUGGAGCGACGCCGCGUGAGCGAAGAAGGCCUUCGGGUUGUAAAGCUCUGUCUGGAGGGACGAAGGAAGUGACGGUACCUCCGGAGGAAGCCACGGCUAACUACGUG
RNAcentral lists this ribosomal RNA (482 nucleotides) under uncultured bacterium. RNAcentral's name for it is "bacterial SSU rRNA". It matches the Rfam family "Bacterial small subunit ribosomal RNA", at positions 32 to 507 of the family's 1533-position model. The record is from RNAcentral.